AGUGAACGCUGGCGGUAGGCCUAACACAUGCAAGUCGAACGGCAGCACAGUAAGAGCUUGCUCUUACGGGUGGCGAGUGGCGGACGGGUGAGGAAUACAUCGGAAUCUACUUUUUCGUGGGGGAUAACGUAGGGAAACUUACGCUAAUACCGCAUACGACCUACGGGUGAAAGCAGGGGAUCUUCGGACCUUGCGCGAUUGAAUGAGCCGAUGUCGGAUUAGCUAGUUGGCGGGGUAAAGGCCCACCAAGGCGACGAUCCGUAGCUGGUCUGAGAGAAUGAUCGGCCACACUGGAACUGAGACACGGUCCAGACUACUACGGGAGGCAGCAGUGGGGAAUAUUGGACAAUGGGCGCAAGCCUGAUACAGCCAUACCGCGUGGGUGACGAAGGCCUUCGGGUUGUAAAGCCCUUUUGUUGGGAAAGAAAAGCAGCAGGUUAAUACCCCGCUGUUCUGACGGUACCCAAAGAAUAAGCACCGGCUAACUUCGUG
This 492-nucleotide ribosomal RNA is filed under the name uncultured bacterium. Its description in RNAcentral is "partial 16S ribosomal RNA". It matches the Rfam family "Bacterial small subunit ribosomal RNA", at positions 29 to 507 of the family's 1533-position model. The record is from RNAcentral.